GCCAGGAUGGCCGAGUGGUUAAGGCGCCAGACUUAAGAUCUGGUCUUCAUAAGAAGACGUGGGUUCGAUCCCCACUCCUGGCA
Limulus polyphemus (Atlantic horseshoe crab) is the source of this 83-nucleotide non-coding RNA. The record is from the annotation of a RefSeq genome assembly. Lineage: Eukaryota; Metazoa; Arthropoda; Merostomata; Xiphosura; Limulidae.